This is a long non-coding RNA of Drosophila miranda, 581 nucleotides long. RefSeq lists it as uncharacterized. NCBI's taxonomy places the organism in Eukaryota, Metazoa, Arthropoda, Insecta, Diptera, Drosophilidae. The record is from RefSeq and is a predicted model, not a curated record. The transcript is spliced from 2 exons.
AAAUUAUCAGUAUUAUUCGGUGUGGAGGGCUGGAACAAGCAACACAAAAAUUCUAAAUUUUCCAAGUUUUAUUCGGUUUAAAUUUUGACUAGAGAUUAAGAAUAAAGUGAAAUUAUGUUUAAGCUAAUUUAAGAAAAAAGUGAAAAACAAAAACACAAACAGAACCAAACAAAAAAAGACAGUGAAAAGAAAACAAAAGAGGUUCGUUUAGUAAGAAAGCAUUUAGUUCCUGCUCGAGUAAUAAGUUCACUCUAUUUAGCCGCCUCCGUCCCUAAGGCUAUACUUAGGUCUCUGUAGACAACACAAACCAACCAACAGUGGCUGCUGCAUAUUCUGUAAGACCGAUUUCCAAUUACACCCGAAUCAAUAGAAUAACAACUAAAAGGCUUGUGCGAUUCAGCGUGGUGCUACUCUGAUGUCUCCGUCGUUGUCCAAUCAACGACGGCGAUGCUCUUCACUCACUUCACACACUUUUGCUGAACUGACAGCAGACUGGCUUGUAUAUUAAUGAAUGAACCCUACAAAUCAUACAUAUAUUUUGAUAAUUACACAUAUUCUAUUUUGAUACUAAUAAUCAUAUA